CAGUAGCCGCGGUAAAACAGAGGGUGCAAGCGUUAAUCGGAAUUACUGGGCGUAAAGCGCGCGUAGGUGGUUUGUUAAGUUGGAUGUGAAAGCCCCGGGCUCAACCUGGGAACUGCAUUUGUGACUGUAUAGCUAGAGUACGGCAGAGGGGGAUGGAAUUCCGCGUGUAGCAGUGAAAUGCGUAGAUAUGCGGAGGAACACCGAUGGCGAAGGCAAUCCCCUGGGCCUGUACUGACGCUUAUGCACGAAAGCGUGGGGAGCAAACAGGAUUAGAUACCCCCGUAGUCCCUGUCUCUUAUAU
RNAcentral lists this ribosomal RNA (301 nucleotides) under uncultured bacterium. Its description in RNAcentral is "partial 16S ribosomal RNA". It matches the Rfam family "Bacterial small subunit ribosomal RNA", at positions 509 to 809 of the family's 1533-position model. The record is from RNAcentral.